AUCUGCAGGCAGAACCUAGGAGGGAGAGAGACACUCCAGGCCUAAGGGCAGUCAGAGAGAAUGCCCAGAGCCAAGAGAUGGAAAGUCUUGUUCAUUGAAAGAGCCAAGAGGUCAAUGUUACUAGAUCUAAGAGUCUGUGGUGGGGAGUAGAAUACAAGUAUGUUUCAAAGGUAGGAGGGGGGUAGGUUAUAAAGGGCUUGUUAACAGAAUUGAGAUUAUAGAGGGCCUGGAGAAGUUAAAAAUUAAAUGGUUCAUCCUCUCAGAGGAGUUGGACCCAAGCUUAUUCCUGGCUUGAGAAAGAAGAUGGACGGGAUAUUUGCCAUACAUACUGCUGGAGCUUGCAAUGUCUUGGGGAAAGACCAUUGCACUAGAAAUAACAUACCAAUGAUGGCUAACAAAGAGCCAUUGCCCAAGAUAAGAAAGAAGAUCAUAAGAAAGCCCCUAGCUUCCCCAGUGAAUUCAAAUGCAAGGGAAUUGCAAGAGAAGAAGCAUGCAGAACUAAGAGAACAUCAUACACAGUAUCAACAACAUUGUGUGAUGAUCAACUGUUGGAGACU
This is a long non-coding RNA of Dromiciops gliroides (monito del monte), 557 nucleotides long. RefSeq lists it as uncharacterized. NCBI's taxonomy places the organism in Eukaryota, Metazoa, Chordata, Mammalia, Microbiotheria, Microbiotheriidae. The transcript has 3 exons. The record is from RefSeq and is a predicted model, not a curated record.